GAACUGUAGAGUUUGAUCCUGGCUCAGAUUGAACGCUGGCGGCAUGCCUUACACAUGCAAGUCGAACGGUAACAGGUCUUCGGAUGCUGACGAGUGGCGAACGGGUGAGUAAUACAUCGGAACGUGCCCGAUCGUGGGGGAUAACGAGGCGAAAGCUUUGCUAAUACCGCAUAAGAUCUAUGGAUGAAAGCAGGGGACCGCAAGGCCUUGCGCGAACGGAGCGGCCGAUGGCAGAUUAGGUAGUUGGUGGGGUAAAGGCUUACCAAGCCUGCGAUCUGUAGCUGGUCUGAGAGGACGACCAGCCACACUGGGACUGAGACACGGCCCAGACUCCUACGGGAGGCAGCAGUGGGGAAUUUUGGACAAUGGGCGCAAGCCUGAUCCAGCCAUGCCGCGUGCAGGAUGAAGGCCUUCGGGUUGUAAACUGCUUUUGUACGGAACGAAAAGCCUCCUUCUAAUAAAGGGGGGUCAUGACGGUACCGUAAGAAUAAGCACCGGCUAACUACGUGCCAGCAGCCGCGGUAAUACGUAGGGUGCAAGCGUUAAUCGGAAUUACUGGGCGUAAAAGCG
RNAcentral lists this non-coding RNA (570 nucleotides) under Corchorus olitorius. RNAcentral describes it as "Bacterial small subunit ribosomal RNA". It matches the Rfam family "Bacterial small subunit ribosomal RNA", at positions 1 to 569 of the family's 1533-position model. The record is from Rfam by way of RNAcentral. Lineage: Eukaryota; Viridiplantae; Streptophyta; Magnoliopsida; Malvales; Malvaceae.